RNAcentral lists this ribosomal RNA (484 nucleotides) under uncultured bacterium. RNAcentral describes it as "partial 16S ribosomal RNA". It matches the Rfam family "Bacterial small subunit ribosomal RNA", at positions 30 to 507 of the family's 1533-position model. The record is from RNAcentral.
AUUGAACGCUGGCGGCAGGCCUAACACAUGCAAGUCGAGCGGAUGAAGGGAGCUUGCUCCUGGAUUCAGCGGCGGACGGGUGAGUAAUGCCUAGGAAUCUGCCUGGUAGUGGGGGAUAACGUCCGGAAACGGGCGCUAAUACCGCAUACGUCCUGAGGGAGAAAGUGGGGGAUCUUCGGACCUCCCGCAAUCGAUGAGCCCUAGGUCGGAUUAGCUGGUUGGUGGGGUAAAGGCCUACCAAGGCGACGAUCCGUAACUGGUCUGAGAGGAUGAUCAGUCACACUGGAACUGAGACACGGUCCAGACUCCUACGGGAGGCAGCAGUGGGGAAUAUUGGACAAUGGGCGAAAGCCUGAUCCAGCCAUGCCGCGUGUGUGAAGAAGGUCUUCGGAUUGUAAAGCACUUUAAGUUGGGAGGAAGGGCAGUAAGUUAAUACCUUGCUGUUUUAACGUUACCAACAGAAUAAGCACCGGCUAACUUCGUG